UUUUUUUUUUUUUUUGUUUUUGUGAAAUGUGAUUGUUUUGUUAGUGUAGUACAGAUUGCAGUCGCAUAGAUUAGCAAAUGGUGCCUUUUUGUUGUCAUUUUCAUUGCUGUUGGCGAUGAUAAUGAUAAAUACAAUCAGAAUUCUCAAGGAUAUAACUAAUCAAAUUGUAAAAAUUUUAAUUUUUCCCUAAAUGCCUGGGAGUUAUAUUCAUGUUCA
This 216-nucleotide unclassified non-coding RNA is filed under the name Hevea brasiliensis (rubber tree). Lineage: Eukaryota; Viridiplantae; Streptophyta; Magnoliopsida; Malpighiales; Euphorbiaceae. The record is from RNAcentral.